Molecule: non-coding RNA, 72 nt
Organism: Phrynosoma platyrhinos (Desert horned lizard)
Lineage: Eukaryota; Metazoa; Chordata; Lepidosauria; Squamata; Phrynosomatidae
Source: the annotation of a GenBank genome assembly
GCCAGGAUGGUGUAGUGGUUUGACUAUUGGAUUACAACUCUGGAGACCAGGGUUCAAUUCCCAGCUCAGCCA